This 439-nucleotide ribosomal RNA is filed under the name uncultured bacterium. RNAcentral's name for it is "partial 16S ribosomal RNA". It matches the Rfam family "Bacterial small subunit ribosomal RNA", at positions 339 to 795 of the family's 1533-position model. The record is from RNAcentral.
CUACGGGUCGCAGCAGUGAGGAAUAUUGCACAAUGGGGGGAACCCUGAUGCAGCAACGCCGCGUGGAGGAUGACGCAUUUCGGUGUGUAAACUCCUUUUAUAUGUCAAGAAAAUGACGGUAGCAUAUGAAUAAGCACCGGCUAACUCCGUGCCAGCAGCCGCGGUAAUACGGAGGGUGCAAGCGUUACUCGGAAUCACUGGGCGUAAAGGACGCGUAGGCGGGUUGGAAAGUCAGGUGUGAAAUCCUGCAGCUUAACUGUAGAACUGCAUUUGAAACUUCUAAUCUAGAGUAUGGGAGGGGGAGAUGGAAUUAGUGGUGUAGGGGUAAAAUCCGUAGAUAUCACUAGGAAUACCUAAAGCGAAGGCGAUCUCCUGGAACAUUACUGACGCUAAGGCGUGAAAGCGUGGGGAGCAAACAGGAUUAGAUACCCGGGUAGUC